RNAcentral lists this ribosomal RNA (481 nucleotides) under uncultured bacterium. RNAcentral's name for it is "bacterial SSU rRNA". It matches the Rfam family "Bacterial small subunit ribosomal RNA", at positions 28 to 526 of the family's 1533-position model. The record is from RNAcentral.
GAUGAACGCUGACAGAAUGCUUAACACAUGCAAGUCUACUUGAUUUACCUUCGGGUAAUGAAGGUGGCGGACGGGUGAGUAACGCGUAAACAAUCUGCCCUUCAGUCUGGGAUAUCAGUUGGAAACGACUGUUAAUACCGGAUAUUAUGAGAUUCUCGCAUGGGAAACUCAUGAAAGCUAUAUGCGCUGGAGGAGGAGUUUGCGUUCCAUUAGCUAGUUGGUGAGGUAACGGCUCACCAAGGCGACGAUGGAUAGCCGGCCUGAGAGGGUGAACGGCCACAAGGGGACUGAGACACGGCCCGUACUCCUACGGGAGGCAGCAGUGGGGAAUAUUGGACAAUGGGCCACGAGCCUGAUCCAGCAAUUCUGUGUGCACGAUGAAGGUCUUCGGAUUGUAAAGUGCUUUCAGUUGGGAAGAAGAAAGUGACGGUACCAACAGAAGAAGCGACGGCUAAAUAUGUGCCAGCCGCCGCCGUAACAC